AUGCACAUCUAUGUCAAGAAUCCGACCGGCAGGACGAUCCGCCUCAGGGUCCAUAAAUCAGACACCUUGUAUAGCGUCAAGGCGAAGAUACAAGAGCAAUACCGCCUCGUCUUUGACGGGACCCAACUAGAGGACAGUUGCACGCUAGCCGACUAUGAAAUCGAGCAUGGAUCCACGAUCGACCUCCAAGAGAAGAUGCAGAUAUUCGUGACGGAGAUGCCGGCUGCUAGGACCAUGGCCCUUGAGGUCGACAGCCACGACACCAUUGACAGCGUCAAGGCCAAGAUCGAGUACAUGGAAGGCUUCCCCAAGGGCCAGCAGUGCCUCAUCUUCGCCAACAAACGGCUGGAGGACGACAACCUCACCUUGGCUGAGUACAACGUCUGGAAGGACUCCACCCUCCUUCUCGUCCUCCAGCCAUGUAGUCCGCGAGAAGGCAUGGGUAUGAUGCGCAUCUUCGUGAGAUAA
RNAcentral lists this ribosomal RNA (468 nucleotides) under Triticum aestivum (bread wheat). RNAcentral describes it as "partial small subunit ribosomal RNA". The record is from RNAcentral. Lineage: Eukaryota; Viridiplantae; Streptophyta; Magnoliopsida; Poales; Poaceae.